RNAcentral lists this unclassified non-coding RNA (336 nucleotides) under soil metagenome. Its description in RNAcentral is "partial contains 5.8S ribosomal RNA, internal transcribed spacer 2, and large subunit ribosomal RNA". The stretch from base 1 to 120 matches the Rfam family "5.8S ribosomal RNA", at positions 35 to 154 of the family's 154-position model. The record is from RNAcentral.
GAUGAAGAACGCAGUGAAAUGCGAUAACUAAUGUGAAUUGCAGAAUUCCGUGAAUCAUUGAGUCUUUGAACGCACAUUGCGCCCAUUAGUAUUCUAGUGGGCAUGCCUGUUCGAGCGUCAUUUCAACCCUUAAGCCUAGCUUAGUGUUGGGAAUCUGCUGUAUUGCAGUUCCUCAAAUACAACGGCGGAUCUGUAACAUCCUCUGAGCGUAGUAAAUUUUUAUCUCGCUUUUGUUAGGUGUUGCAGCUCUCAGCCGCUAAACCCCCCAAUUUUUGUGGUUGACCUCGGAUCAGGUAGGAAUACCCGCUGAACUUAAGCAUAUCAAUAAGCGGAGGA